GCGGCAAUAGCUCAGUUGGUAGAGCACUAGCUUCCCAAGCUGGUGGUCGCGAGUUCGAGUCUCGUUUGCCGCUCCC
RNAcentral lists this transfer RNA (76 nucleotides) under Porphyromonadaceae bacterium. Its description in RNAcentral is "tRNA-Gly". It matches the Rfam family "tRNA". Rfam says of the family: Transfer RNA (tRNA) molecules are approximately 80 nucleotides in length. The record is from RNAcentral. Lineage: Bacteria; Pseudomonadati; Bacteroidota; Bacteroidia; Bacteroidales; Porphyromonadaceae.